This 431-nucleotide ribosomal RNA is filed under the name uncultured bacterium. RNAcentral's name for it is "partial 16S ribosomal RNA". It matches the Rfam family "Bacterial small subunit ribosomal RNA", at positions 338 to 795 of the family's 1533-position model. The record is from RNAcentral.
CCUACGGGAGGCAGCAGUAAGGAAUAUUGGUCAAUGGACGCAAGUCUGAACCAGCCAUGCCGCGUGCAGGAUGAAGGCCCUUGGGUCGUAAACUGCUUUUAUCUAUGAAGCGGUAAUAGAGGAAUAAGCACCGGCUAACUCCGUGCCAGCAGCCGCGGUAAUACGGAGGGUGCAAGCGUUAUCCGGAUUUACUGGGUUUAAAGGGUGCGUAGGCGGGUUGGUAAGUCAGUGGUGAAAGCCCCGAGCCUAACUCGGGAACUGCCAUUGAUACUAUCAAUCUUGAAUUCAGUUGAGGUGGGCGGAAUGUGUCAUGUAGCGGUGAAAUGCUUAGAUAUGACACAGAACACCAAUUGCGAAGGCAGCUCGCUAACUACAUUGACGCUGAGGCACGAAAGCGUGGGGAUCAAACAGGAUUAGAUACCCUUGUAGUC